Molecule: long non-coding RNA, 1110 nt
Filed under: Homo sapiens (human)
Lineage: Eukaryota; Metazoa; Chordata; Mammalia; Primates; Hominidae
Description: PPP1R3B divergent transcript
Source: RNAcentral
AAGGAAAGCAUUGCGCAUGCGGGAAACCCACGCUGAGGGAAGAAUCAUGGGAAAGAGUAGAGACGGGGUUCCACCGUGUUAGCCAGGAUGGUCUCGAUUUCCUGACCUCGUCAUCCUCCCGCCUUGGCCUCCCAAAGUGCUGGGAUUACAGGCUUGAGCCACCGCGCCCCGCUCUUUCGUGUUCCAAAGGCUUUUUAAAUAAACUUCCACUCCUGUCCUGGAUUCUGCUUUAUGGCCCUCAGUCGAAUUCUUUCUUCUGAGGAGGCAAGGACUGAAGUUGCUUCUGACCAGUACAGGUACGCCGCAGGAGAAAACGAAUACAGCAGGGAUGACUUCCACCAGCUCCACUUUGCAGCUCUGAGGUGUAUUAAAAAUAAACCUAGAGCCCCACCAAAUGAAUCCGCUGGCACGUGGACCUCAGAUGGGGGAAACUGAGGACUGAAUUCUGACCACCCUCCUUUGUUCUAAAUUUCUUCCUGAAGGACCUGGAAGAAGUCAUGCCACGGGCCAGACCUUAACAUUCCUUUCGGCUUACCCCAGGAUUUCAGACAAAGCUUCACUUUCCUAACCAGUCACAAAUCAGAGAAUUUUUGAUUCCACCUAUGACCUGUGAGCUCCUGCUUCAAGAUAUUCCACCUUUUUUAGGCCAAACCAAUGUAUAACCUCCAAGUGUCGAUUUACACUUUCGACUGUAACUUCUGCUUUCCUGAGAUUUACCCCUGCCUUUAAAAACCCUUGCUUGUAAUCCCUCAGGGAGGCCGUGUAUUUAUUAAUCAUGAGCUGCCCAAUUCUCCUUGCUUGGUGCCCUGCAAAUAAACACCCUCUUUUCUCCCACUGCAAAACCUCAGUGUGGAUGUUUGGCUUUACUUCACCCCCAGGAAAGCAGACCCAGGUUUGACUCAGCAACAACAUCUGUUUCUAUUUUUCUCUGUAUAAAUAUUAAAAACCAUAAGUACAUGCUAUCUCCAAUUCCAAUAUAAACCCAUAGGGCUCAUUCUGGCCUUCCCAUUUUCUUAUGUGUAAUUCAUUUCUCUGAAAAUGAGAAUUCGAGUACUCAGAUAUUUACUUACCUACUCAAUCCUAGAAUAGAAAUAAAAUAAUUCAACAUAA